CCACAUGUAUCGACUCAUAGAACGUAGAUGUCCCGUGUUGUAAAUCGGAGGGAUUAAACACUCUUUUAAGGCAUUAAACUCUACGCUAGUGCCUGUACUCCUACACAACACCAGAUCAGUGUCAUUCCUUCUUUCCCCUAAACCCUCGAAAACCCCUUGUUUCGUCGCUUUGUCGCCGACUCGAUUUGAGAAAUAUGGCUUGGCGCUCAGGAUCGCUGUCUCGGUCGUUGAUUUCGACUGCUAGGACCUCGUCGCUCCGCUCAUCACCGCCCCUCCCCCGCGUACGCACGCCCCCUCUUGCCGCUCCGCGCGUCCAGUCCCGCCGCUUCUCUUUCGCUACUGCCCCCAGUAGGAACUUGGGAGAACUGGGAUGCGCACAGUCACUCCUGCCACUGGGCAACGUGUUGGCUACGACCCGCCUCACAUCUCACCUUGCCGUCAACAUACGGGCUUUUUGUGAGCUGUCCCAUGGUACCUUCCGCCGUACUUGUCAGGAUCGCUAGUAGUCUCUUUGAAGGAGUGGAAAAGACGGGUGAUGCACGAGGACUUUUGAUCAUCCCAAAGGCAGGGAGAAUGAUGCUUCACCCCAUAGGUACAUGAAGGGCUGCCGGAUAAGCACAUUUUAGUGCAAGGAGUUAAAUUGGGGCAGUCAUAGAAUGGGUAUCGUGUAGGAACUUCAAAUUUUAGUAAAAUUUGUAAGAUGUUAUCCGAGUUGUGCCAUUUUGAAGAAGAAACCUGGAGUUUUUUCUUUAUUGCGUUCAACAACUUGCAUAAGUUCUGGCAAUUCAAAUGUAGACUGAUAUCAAGUAUCAUUAAUUUCUGGAACGCAAAUGUUUACAUUUUUCCUGCUGCA
Carya illinoinensis is the source of this 853-nucleotide RNA transcript. RefSeq lists it as uncharacterized. Lineage: Eukaryota; Viridiplantae; Streptophyta; Magnoliopsida; Fagales; Juglandaceae. The transcript has 4 exons. The record is from RefSeq and is a predicted model, not a curated record.